CUGACUGCUAUCGGAUUGAUACUAAGCCAUGCGAGUCAUUGUAGCAAUACAAGGCAUACGGCUCAGUAACGCGUAGUCAACCUAACCUAUGGACGGGAAUAACCUCGGGAAACUGAGAAUAAUGCCCGAUAGAACAUUAUGCCUGGAAUGGUUUAUGUUCCAAAUGAUUUAUCGCCGUAGGAUGGGACUGCGGCCUAUCAGUUUGUUGGUGAGGUAAUGGCCCACCAAGACUAUUACAGGUACGGGCUCUGAGAGGAGUAGCCCGGAGAUGGGUACUGAGACACGGACCCAGGCCCUAUGGGGCGCAGCAGGCGAGAAAACUUUGCAAUGUGCGAAAGCACGACAAGGUUAAUCCGAGUGGUUUCUGCUAAAGGAACCUUUUGUCAGUCCUAGAAACACUGAUGAAUAAGGGGUGGGCAAGUCUGGUGUCAGCCGCCGCGGUAAAACCAGCACCUCAAGUGGUCAGGAUGAUUAUUGGGCCUAAAGCAUCCGUAGCCGGCUCUGUAAGUUUUCGGUUAAAUCUGUACGCUCAACGUACAGGCUGCCGGGAAUACUGCAGAGCUAGGGAGUGGGAGAGGUAGACGGUACUCGGUAGGAAGGGGUAAAAUCCUUUGAUCUAUUGAUGACCACCUGUGGCGAAGGCGGUCUACCAGAACACGUCCGACGGUGAGGGAUGAAAGCUGGGGGAGCAAACCGGAUUAGAUACCCGGGUAGUCCCAGCUGUAAACUAUGCAAACUCAGUGAUGCAUUGGCUUGUGGCCAAUGCAGUGCUGCAGGGAAGCCGUUAAGUUUGCCGCCUGGGAAGUACGUACGCAAGUAUGAAACUUAAAGGAAUUGGCGGGGGAGCACCACAAGGGGUGAAGCUCGGUC
Molecule: ribosomal RNA, 870 nt
Filed under: uncultured marine archaeon AEGEAN_67
Lineage: Archaea; Thermoproteati; Thermoproteota
Description: bacterial SSU rRNA
Rfam family: Archaeal small subunit ribosomal RNA
Source: RNAcentral